Trichosurus vulpecula (common brushtail) is the source of this 3957-nucleotide long non-coding RNA. RefSeq lists it as uncharacterized. The transcript has 3 exons. Lineage: Eukaryota; Metazoa; Chordata; Mammalia; Diprotodontia; Phalangeridae. The record is from RefSeq and is a predicted model, not a curated record.
GUCUUCAAGCUGCUGCAUCUUCCAGGCCCUUCCAAGAGCUCCGCGGACAAAGCUAUUUCCAUGAGAAUGCAAAAAAACGCUUUAGUUUCUAACAGUUUCUAUGACCCACGUAUCUCGUCAUGGUAGACGUAACACACAUAAACCAAAUUUUAGAGGCGGGAGGCGAGGGUUCCUCAAUUUAUAAAAGCAAAAAGUUUAAGAAUCGCUUGGCCUAGAGGAAGUGACCUGGACCUAUACGCGUAUUGAUAGUCAUUUAAUAUUCGAAUCCCAAUAAGGGCCAGAGCCUGAACUAAUUAACCUGAAGAAGCCCCUCAGCCGAAGACACUUCUUUCUUUGUUCUCUGCGUUUACCCCGAGAAUACCCCAUCCUAUAUCAGCGAGCCCGGAUGGGGCUGAGCAUUCUUUCUUCUGUCUGUGGCCGGCUGAGCCUUCCCUGAGAUUCCCUCCCUAAUGAAGAGUAUUUAGAUCCUAACCCCUCUGUCCCUCCUGGGCACUCCAGUGCUUAGGUGCAGUGUGGUGUUCCAAAUUGCAAUUCUCUUGCCUUGAUGAAAGACUUACAGUUGCUACUUUGGUAGCCCUCUUCGUUUGAGGUUGACAGCUCCUACAUCCAGCACACAGGUUCCCCUGAGGAAGAAAGACAGGCUUUGCAUCUUCUUUGAUAUAAGAGGAGACAUGGCAUGAUUGAGAGCUGAUUAAGCAAAGCAGAAUCUUCUGUUUGAAGAACUGACCAGGGGAAGGCUGCAUGACCCUUUCACUAUCUACAGCUUGAGAGAGAGCAACUGUGCAGAAUUUGAGAGGUGAUCUGAGAGAGAUGAACUGUUUCAUGGCUUAUGAGAACUGUUUUAACUGAAAGAGUAUAACUAUUUCUCAGCGCACUGUGAUGGUUGGUUGUAUGUUAAAAUAACUUAUCACUACUUUAGCGGUCUGAGAAUGGCAGAGAACUCACUCUGCCCAGCAGGACCUACAGGCUAAGCAGACAGCAGAGGAAGUUUUGCCUGGCAGGUGAUGAUUCUGCAGAUUAUACUAUAAAUAGACCCAGGACAUCAAGGCCUGCCAUUCAGAGCUGUGAACUGCUUUAGCCACAUGCAUUUGUCUAUUCAUUUGCUUCUCUGCUAGGUUUCUGAAGGUGUAUGCCCACACUUCUGCAUGUGUGUACUAGAGCUAGACCUGGGUUUAUAGGUACACUGUUAAAUUCUGAUUAUUCCUAUUCUUGCUUUUUAUUGAAUAGUAUUCCUCCUCUUGCCUCCUAUUAAGUUAUGGUUAUUGUUGCUCUUGCCUUCUGCCACAAUAACUUUUAUGUUUGAGUUAAUGGUGUCCAAAAUAUUCAUAGUGGCCUUUUUUGUAGUAGCAAAGAAUUGUAUAAAAAGUAGAUGUCCAAUGAUUUGGGAAUGGCCAAACUGUGGCAUAGAAAUAUAAUGAAACAUUAUUGUGCGGUAAAAUGGCAAAUAAGAUAAAUACAGAGCAGCAGGGAAAGGCUUAGAUAAACUGAUACAAAGGAAACUGGGCAGGGCCAAGAGAAAAUAUACGACUACAGCGAAAAUGGAAAGAAAACCACCACAAAACAAUCAAAAAAGAAUGUUGCAAAUUACAAAGAGCAAGUCAGAUCCCCAAAGAAGAGAUCUAAGAGGACAGCUCCCUUCUCUCCUUUGCAGAAGUGAGGGGUCCAUGGGUGUGAAACAUUGCAUAUAUUGUCAUAUUUGGGGGAUGUAGUGAUCAGUUUUGCAUGUUUUUUUUCUUUUAUAUUUUGAAAGUUCUUUGUUGUAAUGAGUAUAGCUUAGAGAGCAACUUGGGCUUCUCUAGGAAGGAGGAGGGAAUAGAUACGGAUGAAAUUUAGGCAAUAUAAAAAACCAAAGAUAUCAAUAAAAACUAAUUUUGAAAAAAGUUAAUAUUAUCAUGACAACUAAUGAAAAGCAUGCCAGUGAGCACUUAGGAGCCAUAGUGGUAAGAGUGCAUCUUUUUCUUUUCACAUACAUAUUGAUGUUACCGAGAGCAAAUUGGAAUAAUAGCCAGUUACGUCCAGCUCAUCCGCUGGAGAAAAAUCCCCAGACCUGCUGGUGAGGGCAGGUUAGGAUGACAGCCAGCCCAGGGAAAAAGAUCAGAGGCCAUUGUUGGGCCACACUAGUUGGAAAUCUUUAAAGAUUCUGAAAUCCAGUAGUACUGUAUUUUUUUUUUUUACACUUUAGACUUCAUGGAAGCUCAAGGGGAGGCAUAUGGGAUAAAGGAAAACAAAAUUCAAAUCUCCAGAGAUUUUAUUUUGCCUUCUUCCAGCACUCUAUUCUUCCAGUAACAAAAUGCCAAUUAAAAAAACAACAAUGCACAAACAUUGAGAUUAGUCAGGAAGGAGAGUUUUAUUAUCAAACGUCAACAAUUCUACAAAAAACAACACAUCAAUACACAUAUUAGUGUUAGUCUGUUUACCUUGUAAGGCUUUCAUAGCUUUGGGUAGACAGUACCUUAAGGCAUCUCAAGUAUUAAGAAUUCUCAUUUCUGAUUUUAAGUGCCAGUAGUCACUAGUUUUCACCUAAAUUAUGAAGUUCUUCUUCCUACUGAAGUUAAAGGGUUGGCCAUCUCUGGUUGGCUGAGGAGGGGAAUUAUUUGGCUCUCCAUUCAAGGUAUAUGAUGAUCAAAAAUAAUGCUAAGUAAGUAAAAAUAGCAGCCACUAGCAGCCACAUAUGUUUGCAUUCAAGCAAAAGGCAGAGGAGUUACUUAAUGAAAUAUGUGCAAUUAGUUUAAUCCAACCUGGGUUCUUCUUUGGAGUUAGGUGAUGCAACUGUACUACCUAACUGAACUACAGUGUCUAAUAUUGCACUUUUGUAGCAUAAACACAGCUAAACACAGAGUGCUAUCCACCACUGACACCUUCAGGCACUGUUCAUAUACUGUAUCAGUGUUGUUUUUAAUCUCCUGUCUCAGUCUAGCACAGUGAUUAUAAUUCUAUAUCUGAGCAAGUUAUAAUUGUCAAAUUAAGCUGUUUAAGAGAAGACAAACAUUUUAUGGCUAUUUUAGUAUAUACAAGUAUUCAUUUCAGUUACAAUUUAUUGCUUCCUAGAAUAUAACAUUCAGAUGUUUCUACAGUUUCGAUAUUAAAAUCUACAAUAUGUUUUUGAUUGAAGUCCAGAACAGUCAGUGAUGAAAAAUGUACAGAUAUAAAAUAUCCCAUCUAAAGCCAUGCUAUCCAGCUACUGGUCAAACAGGAACCAAGUACUGUAGCUAUUCACUUUUUGGUCUUCUGAGUGUUUUGGCCACUGGUCUGAUAUCAUUUAUGAGGGGGUAUUUAUUUUCAAAGAAGCUACCUUUUUGUUGUUGUUGUUGUUAUGUUUUCUUAAGGGUUCCUCCAUAUAUUCCCUAAGCCCAGGGGUGGUAGGUGGGAUGGGAGAAGAGAAUCAUUUCGGGGUUUGGACUGUAAGGCAGCAUGGCAAAGAGGUCGGAAAAAAAUCAAGUUAUGCUUUCCUCCGUUCAUAAUUUGCUUCUUUAUUUAGUGGGAGGAGUGGAAAUGAAGGGGUAGGAAGGUUCUUAGAGAGGAGUAGAAAAAACAAAAAAAAUUAAAUAAGACCUCCAAAUCAUUACUGAUGCUUGGAGAUGGUAGGUUAUGUUUUAUUUCUCUUUUUGCUGUUAAGAUCCUAAGAAUUCCAUGUGGGCAACACUUGAGAUGUCACAGAAUGUAAAUCUCUGACUAGAAGGGAAUAGAGACCUCAGAUAUCAAAUUCACAUUUUGAAUGUCAAUCUGUGAUCAGCACAGAGCCAGGAGUGCUAUAUGCUGCUUGCAAAGGCAAUAACAACUAGAAGAUUUGGCUUUAUUGGCUCAAGUUUUCACUCCACCAAAAUGUAGGGCCCCUUGUCCCUGUCAAAUUGUGUUGCUGAGAAUACUGCAGCCUGAAUGUAAAACUCUCUCUGAAGUUUCCAGGAGUCCUCUGGUUUCUGAGGGUUUCAGGCCCACCUUAAAUCUCUCAAACACUGU